This 478-nucleotide ribosomal RNA is filed under the name uncultured bacterium. RNAcentral describes it as "bacterial SSU rRNA". It matches the Rfam family "Bacterial small subunit ribosomal RNA", at positions 29 to 507 of the family's 1533-position model. The record is from RNAcentral.
AUGAACGCUGGCGGCGUGCUUAACACAUGCAAGUCGAACGAAGCACUCAUGACAGAUUCUUCGGAUGAUGGAUUGAUUGACUGAGUGGCGGACGGGUGAGUAACGCGUGGGUAACCUGCCUCAUACAGGGGGAUAACAGUUAGAAAUGACUGCUAAUACCGCAUAAGCGCACAGUACCGCAUGGUACGGUGUGAAAAACUCCGGUGGUAUGAGAUGGACCCGCGUCUGAUUAGCUAGUUGGUGGGGUAACGGCCUACCAAGGCGACGAUCAGUAGCCGGCCUGAGAGGGUGAACGGCCACAUUGGGACUGAGACACGGCCCAAACUCCUACGGGAGGCAGCAGUGGGGAAUAUUGCACAAUGGGGGAAACCCUGAUGCAGCGACGCCGCGUGAGUGAUGAAGUAUUUCGGUAUGUAAAGCUCUAUCAGCAGGGAAGAAAAUGACGGUACCUGACUAAGAAGCACCGGCUAAAUACGUG